AAGUAGCUUCUAACCAUGCCAGUUAUACACCGUCGCUACGCUCGUAACCUCCUCGACUUGGAUUCAACGGAUAAUGUCGAGUAUAAUGAAGAUUUACAACAAUCCUACGAGUUCAACUUUACAUAAUACAUUUUAAGAAGAAAGAAAAACAACUCGAUUGAUAAAAGUACAAAAUGAAGAAGCAUCUGUAAUGUGUUUCAGAAAGCUGCGAUUGGAUUUACUUUGCUGAAGAAAGAAAGAAAGAAA
This 246-nucleotide long non-coding RNA is filed under the name Polistes fuscatus (common paper wasp). RNAcentral's name for it is "uncharacterized LOC122513509". Lineage: Eukaryota; Metazoa; Arthropoda; Insecta; Hymenoptera; Vespidae. The record is from RNAcentral.